AUAAGUUACAAAGGGCGUACAGUGGAUGCCUAGGCACCGAAAGACGAAGAAGGACGCGACUACCUGCGAAAAGCUGCGGCGAGUUGGACGUAAACUUUGACCCGCAGAUGUCCGAAUGGGGAAACCCGAUAUGCUAACUACAUAUCAUACGAGCGGUGAAUACAUAGCCGCCGUAAGGCAACCCAGGGAAUUGAAACAUCUUAGUACCUGGAGGAAAAGAAAGAGAAUCGAUUCCGUCAGUAGCGGCGAGCGAAAGCGGAAGAGCCCAAACCAAGAAAUUGGGGUUCGGGGUUACAAAGAAUCAUGACGAAGAAGAAGAAGUGUUUGGAAUGGCACAUCUAAGAGGGUGAAAAUCCCGUAUUCGUAAGAGAGUCAUGGUCGUAACUACCAGAGUAGGGCGGGGCACGUGAAACCCUGUCUGAAUGAGCGGAGACCACUCCGUAAGGCUAAAUACUCUUCGGUGACCGAUAGUGAACCAGUACCGUGAGGGAAAGGUGAAAAGAACCCCGGGAGGGGAGUGAAAAGAAUCUGAAACUGUAUGCUUACAAGAUGUCAGAGACCGUUAAAGGUUGAUGACGUGCCUAUUGAAGAAUGAGCCGGCGAGUUAUGUAUACAUGCGAGGUUAAGGAGAAGAUCCGGAGCCGUAGCGAAAGCGAGUCUGAAUAGGGCGUUCAGUAUGUGUAUGUAGACCCGAAACCCGACGAUCUAGCCAUGAUCAAGAUGAAGUAAGGGUCAAACCUUAUGGAGGUCUGAACCGACGUUCGUUGAAACGACCGCGGAUGAAUUGUGGCUCGUGGUGAAAUUCCAAUCGAGUCGGGUAAUAGCUGGUUCUCCUCGAAAUAGCUUUAGGGCUAGCCUCAGAACACUACAUUUUGGAGGUAGAGCACUGAAUGAAAGCGAGCCGCGCCAAGCGGUAUCAAUUUCAAUCAAACUCCGAAUUCCGAGAUGCUUAUUCUGGGAGUCAGACUGUGGGAGAUAAGUUUCAUGGUCAAAAGGGCAACAGCCCGGACCGCCAACUAAGGUCCCUAAAUUCGCGCUAAGUGUUAAAGGAUGUAGAGAUACUUAAACAGCUAGGAUGUUGGCUCAGAGGCAGCCAUCAUUUAAAGAAUGCGUAACAGCUCACUAGUCAAGUGUCUCCGCGCCGAAAAUUUACCGGGGCUAAGCGCGAUACCGAAGUUGCGGAUAUUUCUAAAGAAAUGUGGUAGGGGAGCGUUCCAUUAGCAUAGAAGCCAUACCGGAAGGAGUGGUGGAGCGAAUGGAAGUGAGAAUGCCGGCGUAAGUAACGAUAAGAGGUGAGAAUCCUCUUCACCAUUUGACUAAGGUUUCCUGGGCUAGGUUCGUCCACCCAGGGUCAGUCGGGACCUAAGACGAGGCCGAAAGGCGUAGCCGAUGGACAGCAGGUUAAUAUUCCUGAACCCGGUUGUGUGCGAUCGCAGUGACGAAAGCGGUUAGGUUUACCCACGAAUGGAAGUGUGGGGAGAUAGUGAUAAGCUGUCGGCUAGAAUCCGACACCAAGUGAAACACCGAAGUACGAAAGGGGUGACCUGAGUAGGAAGUAGCUGAUACCGAUUUCCAAGAAAAGCUGCUAGCUUAAGCACAAUCGGCCCGUACCGAGAACGGACACACGUGGUCAAGGAGAGUAUCCUAAGGUGAGCGAGAUAACUGUUGUUAAGGAACUCUGCAAAAUUACUUCGUAAGUUAGCGAGAAGAAGUGCUCCGUAAAAGGAGCCGCAGUGAAGAGGCCCAAGUAACUGUUUACCAAAAACACAGCUCUAUGCUAAGUCGUAAGACGAUGUAUAUGGGGUGAAGCCUGCCCGGUGCCGGAAGGUUAAUAGGAGAGGUGAAAGCUUUGAAUUGAAGCCCCGGUGAACGGCGGCCGUAACUAUAACGGUCCUAAGGUAGCGAAAUUCCUUGUCAGGU
RNAcentral lists this ribosomal RNA (1920 nucleotides) under human gut metagenome. Its description in RNAcentral is "bacterial LSU rRNA". It matches the Rfam family "Bacterial large subunit ribosomal RNA", at positions 1 to 1977 of the family's 2925-position model. The record is from RNAcentral.